This 448-nucleotide long non-coding RNA is filed under the name Phasianus colchicus (ring-necked pheasant). RNAcentral's name for it is "lncRNA (ENSPCLG00000019806.1)". Lineage: Eukaryota; Metazoa; Chordata; Aves; Galliformes; Phasianidae. The record is from RNAcentral.
GGGCUGCCCCAUAAGUCCCCCCGCUGUGGGGCUGCCCCAUAAGUGCCCCAUAGGUCUGUUAGUUGUGGGGCUGCCCCAUAAGUGCCCCAUAGGUCUGUUAGUUAUGGGGCUGCCCCAUAGGGCCGCUGAUGCCCCCCGCCCCCCGCAGGGCCCCCCCCCCACUGCCGGAGCUGCAGCGCGAGCUGGAGGCGCUGACUCAGCAACUGGAGCGGCUGAGGGCGCAGGUGGGGGGCUGGGACCCACAAGUGGGGGGUGGGACCCACAAGUGUGGGUGGGGGGCUGUGGGACCCCUAUAUGUGGGUGGGGGGCUGUGGGACCCCCGGGUGUGGGGCUGGGGGACCCUGGGGUGUGGGGCUGGGGGACCCACAAGUUGGGGGUGGGACCCCCAUGUGUGGGUGUGGGGCUGUGGGACCCCCAAGUGUGGGGCUGGGACCCAUAUAUGUGGGGU